This 285-nucleotide long non-coding RNA is filed under the name Carica papaya (papaya). RNAcentral's name for it is "long non-coding RNA (CPAP_LNC016106)". Lineage: Eukaryota; Viridiplantae; Streptophyta; Magnoliopsida; Brassicales; Caricaceae. The record is from RNAcentral.
UCGCAAUUCAAUUUUAAGCCUCCCCAAACCCAUAUCGGGGCUGGAAAACCAAAAGAGAAGCUAGACAUUGAGGGUAGAGCUCAGCCGAGCUGCCGCACCUGCGACCCAAAACCCCUUCAGUGAGGUGAGUUUUUUCUCCCCUUUCGAUUUGCAAUUCAAUUCUAAGCCUCCCCAAACCCAUAUUGGCGCUGAAAAACCAAAAGAGAAGCCAGACAUUGACGGCAGAGCUCGGCCGAGCUGCCACACCUGCGAUCCAAAACCCCUCCGGUGAGCUCGAAUCCUCUU